GGGCGUGUAGCUCAGCUGGGAGAGCGCUAGAAUCGCACUCUAGAGGUCCCCGGUUCGAUCCCGGGCACGUCCA
Transfer RNA from Sandaracinus amylolyticus, 73 nucleotides. It matches the Rfam family "tRNA". Rfam says of the family: Transfer RNA (tRNA) molecules are approximately 80 nucleotides in length. Their secondary structure includes four short double-helical elements and three loops (D, anti-codon, and T loops). The record is from Rfam. Lineage: Bacteria; Pseudomonadati; Myxococcota; Polyangiales; Sandaracinaceae.